This is a long non-coding RNA of Rhododendron vialii, 1306 nucleotides long. RefSeq lists it as uncharacterized. The transcript is spliced from 2 exons. Lineage: Eukaryota; Viridiplantae; Streptophyta; Magnoliopsida; Ericales; Ericaceae. The record is from RefSeq and is a predicted model, not a curated record.
AAGGAUCAUUGAAUGGUUGCAUAGAAACAGGCUGGACUUCUCGACCUACUUGACUAUAUUUUUCUUCAGUACUGAUGGAAAAGCUAAUCCAAUUGAGCUUGUUCAAGCUUUGGCUUUGUAAAUUCAAAGACUUUUAACAUCAAUUUGAUUUUCUUCCUCACCAUCUGGCCCUUCCGCUUUUCUCUCCCUUCUCUCUACUUUCUCUCUCUAAAAACUAGCUUUAAAAACUAGAUCUCGGGUUCCGACUGGGAGAGGGGCGGCGCCUCUCCCCCUCCCCUCUUCCUCUCCUCCUCCCACCCCUACCGUUCGUUGUCUGGUUCUCCGGCCAGGUGGUUCAAGCGCUAGGUCGCCAGUGAACUCGUUACCGACCUUCGGUCGGUUGGUCUAUCUAGGAUGGCUCCUCCUUCUUCUCUCAAUCUCUAGAUGUUUCUUGGGUUGACAGUGGUUGUGGUUGCAAUAACCAGUGAGGGCGAAGUGUUCGAAGUUUGAGAUCUGUGGCCGCCAUGGUUGCGUGAGCUGGUUUUGCUACUGUCGUGCCCACUCGCGCGCCGAAGUCUAUUGUGCCAGCGAAGACUUGCCCUGGAGUGGCGUCCAUGUUGUAAUUGCAAAGCCGCGCCAGCUCUUCGUUGGUGUUGUUUUCUGAUCAAGAGGUUGCCGGUGUGUCAGUUUGGGUUUCUGCUUCCGAUUUACGAUUUCAUCUUGCACUUACUUCGGGUUUGAGCUGUGAAUCCUUUUGAAUCCUCUACUGCUGAGUCACUGACGGGUCUCUCAUACCGGCAGUUAGUGUAGGUUUGCUUCGGCAAGGGUUCCUUAAAUCUGUAGUCUGUGUGCUUUUAGCAGUAACUCGUGUCUUUGAUUUACUAGUAAUUUUGGUUCAUUCAUGUACAUUGUGAUGAAAUCUUUUCCCUUUGCAUGAUGAAUGAAUUGCUUGACGUUUGAUAAAAAAAAAAAAACCCCAUCAAUUUGAAUAUCAAUUAAAAAAUCAAGCCGAACUCAAAUCGAACAGGUUUGGGAUCAACUCUUUAUUGGCACCUUUGGGCUUUGAGAAAUUAGAACCAUUACAAUGACCCCUGGAUUAAAUGGUCAUAGAACAACGGUAAUGCUAGGCACUGAACACUACCACAAACUUCAGCUAAUGUAGUACAUAGGAUCCGGCACCUUGAAAGUCCUAUUGCCGACGUAGGUACCGAACAAAUCACUCCAUUGAUCCCCUAUGUUUCCAAGGAUUCUGUAUCCUGCUUCCACAAGUUCUUUCCUCUUCGCCGAUUUGUACACCAAUGCCGUGGCACCACUCUCCGAUGUUGCC